RNAcentral lists this ribosomal RNA (301 nucleotides) under uncultured bacterium. Its description in RNAcentral is "partial 16S ribosomal RNA". It matches the Rfam family "Bacterial small subunit ribosomal RNA", at positions 509 to 809 of the family's 1533-position model. The record is from RNAcentral.
CAGUAGCCGCGGUAAUACGAAGGGUGCAAGCGUUACUCGGAAUUACUGGGCGUAAAGCGUGCGUAGGUGGUGGUUUAAGUCCGUUGUGAAAGCCCUGGGCUCAACCUGGGAAUUGCAGUGGAUACUGGGUCACUAGAGUGUGGUAGAGGAUAGUGGAAUUUCCGGUGUAGCAGUGAAAUGCGUAGAGAUCGGAAGGAACAUCUGUGGCGAAGGCGACUAUCUGGGCCAACACUGACACUGAGGCACGAAAGCGUGGGGAGCAAACAGGAUUAGAUACCCCGGUAGUCCCUGUCUCUUAUCC